Non-coding RNA from Schistosoma haematobium, 45 nucleotides. NCBI's taxonomy places the organism in Eukaryota, Metazoa, Platyhelminthes, Trematoda, Strigeidida, Schistosomatidae. The record is from Rfam.
AUGCAACUGACGAGUCCCAUAUUGAACGAAACGCACGUUCUGGAU